CGGGUGCUCCGUGUCCGUGGGGGUAGAAGACGAAGGACUACUCGAAGACACACGUGACACAGACGAACCUAAUAAAAUAAUAUGUGACGUACAAGACUUGUGUUGAACAAUGAAUGACAUUUUUUUUACACAUUCGAAAAGGAACGAAUGAAUCACUUAGUGGUAGCACUGAAUAUGAAUGCAUAAAAUGCUUGUGGGAAAAUUUAUACAGAAGAAAAUAACAAAGAUUCUGAAGAAAAAUUAUAUUAAAAUGCAAAGCAGAUAAAAGUUUGUAUAUACAUAAUCUUAUUCUUUACAUAUAAUAUGUAUAUAUUAUUAUGUUUCUUAAAUUACCAGAGUGUGUUGUGUGCAUCUGUGCUGACGUCAUAUACUUGGAGGCCGGAGGCUGCGUGGCGGAGGCGUCGUACCAUUUGAGAACGUCCAGUACAGCCUGAGGGUUACUCUUCUGUUCCUGUUUGCUGAUGUUAGACGCCAUCAAGAGACGUGCCCACGCCUCCGGCAUACCCUUCAUAGUAAACAUUAAAACAUUAUCUUAUUGAUAUUCUGUAAAAUGUAUUAUGAAUGUUAGCUGUCAUGCAUUUAUGCGUCGAGUUUAUUUACGGAUACGGACUACGCGAUUUAGGAUUGCUGAGAAAAUAUAUUUUUCAUUAAGUAAAAUAACUAUGAUGGCAUGUCUUAGUAGUUGCUCUAACAUUGAGAUAAUAAACAUUUGUCAUGCACAAAUAACUACGGAUGCUUGAAUAUUUGCAUGUCUUAAUAAGGCUACAGAUAAAAAAAAUAGUGUAUUAAGUAAUAAUUAAAUAUUUAAUUCUUGCUAACCUUAUAUAGUAUAUGAAUUAUAAACUAAUUAUCAUAUUUAACAUAUUUU
Long non-coding RNA from Danaus plexippus (monarch butterfly), 868 nucleotides. RefSeq lists it as uncharacterized. The record is from RefSeq and is a predicted model, not a curated record. Lineage: Eukaryota; Metazoa; Arthropoda; Insecta; Lepidoptera; Nymphalidae. The transcript is spliced from 2 exons.